This 203-nucleotide ribosomal RNA is filed under the name uncultured bacterium. RNAcentral's name for it is "partial 16S ribosomal RNA". It matches the Rfam family "Bacterial small subunit ribosomal RNA", at positions 524 to 717 of the family's 1533-position model. The record is from RNAcentral.
UACGUAGGGUGCAAGCGUUAAUCGGAAUUACUGGGCGUAAAGCGUGCGCAGGCGGUUUUGUAAGUUCUGUCGUGAAAUCCCCGGGCUCAACCUGGGAAUCGGCAGUUGAGAACUGGACAGCUGGAGUGUGUCAGAGGGGGGUAGAAUUCCACGUGAGUAGCAGUGAAAUGCGUGAAUGAGAAUGUGGAGGAAUGAACCGGAUG